UCCCUGGUGGACCAGUGGCUUGGACUCCGUGCUUCCAACACAGGGGCCUAGGUUCCAUCCCUGGUCAGGGAA
This 72-nucleotide transfer RNA is filed under the name Bos taurus (domestic cattle). It matches the Rfam family "tRNA". From Rfam's summary of the family: Transfer RNA (tRNA) molecules are approximately 80 nucleotides in length. Their secondary structure includes four short double-helical elements and three loops (D, anti-codon, and T loops). Further hydrogen bonds mediate the characteristic L-shaped molecular structure. tRNAs have two regions of fundamental functional importance: the anti-codon, which is responsible for specific mRNA codon recognition, and the 3' end, to which the tRNAs corresponding amino acid is attached (by aminoacyl-tRNA synthetases). tRNAs cope with the degeneracy of the genetic code in two manners: having more than one tRNA (with a specific anti-codon) for a particular amino acid; and 'wobble' base-pairing, i.e. permitting non-standard base-pairing at the 3rd anti-codon position. Lineage: Eukaryota; Metazoa; Chordata; Mammalia; Artiodactyla; Bovidae. The record is from Rfam by way of RNAcentral. RNAcentral also lists the same sequence under 2 other names.